GGGGGAUAUUGCACAAUGGAGGAAACUCUGAUGCAGCAACGCCGCGUGAGGGAAGAAGGUCUUCGGAUUGUAAACCUUUGUCCUUGGUGACGAUAAUGACGGUAGCCAAGGAGGAAGCUCCGGCUAACUACGUGCCAGCAGCCGCGGUAAUACGUAGGGAGCGAGCGUUGUCCGGAUUUACUGGGUGUAAAGGGUGCGUAGGCGGCUUUGCAAGUCAGGUGUGAAAACUAUCGGCUUAACUGAUAGACUGCAUUUGAAACUGUGGAGCUUGAGUGAAGUAGAGGCAGACGGAAUUCCCGGUGUAGCGGUGAAAUGCGUAGAGAUCGGGAGGAACACCAGUGGCGAAGGCGGUCUGCUGGGCUUUAACUGACGCUGAGGCACGAAAGCAUGGGUAGCAAAC
This 400-nucleotide ribosomal RNA is filed under the name uncultured bacterium. RNAcentral describes it as "bacterial SSU rRNA". It matches the Rfam family "Bacterial small subunit ribosomal RNA", at positions 356 to 773 of the family's 1533-position model. The record is from RNAcentral.